GCGAGGGUGGCGGAACUGGUAGACGCGCAAGAUUCAGGAUCUUGUGGUAAAGAGCCAUGGGGGUUCGAGUCCCCCCUCUCGCA
RNAcentral lists this transfer RNA (83 nucleotides) under Deltaproteobacteria bacterium RIFCSPHIGHO2_02_FULL_44_16. RNAcentral describes it as "tRNA-Leu". It matches the Rfam family "tRNA". From Rfam's summary of the family: Transfer RNA (tRNA) molecules are approximately 80 nucleotides in length. The record is from RNAcentral. RNAcentral also lists the same sequence under 1 other name. Lineage: Bacteria; Deltaproteobacteria.